UUGAACGCUGGCGGCAGGCCUAACACAUUCAAGUCGCGCGGAUGAAGGGAGCUUGCUCCUGGAUUCAGCGGCGGACGGGUGAGUAAUGCCUAGGAAUCUGCCUGGUAGUGGGGGAUAACGUCCGGAAACGGGCGCUAAUACCGCAUACGUCCUGAGGGAGAAAGUGGGGGAUCUUCGGACCUCACGCUAUCAGAUGAGCCUAGGUCGGAUUAGCUAGUUGGUGGGGUAAAGGCCUACCAAGGCGACGAUCCGUAACUGGUCUGAGAGGAUGAUCAGUCACACUGGAACUGAGACACGGUCCAGACUCCUACGGGAGGCAGCAGUGGGGAAUAUUGGACAAUGGGCGAAAGCAUGAUCCAGCCAUGCCGCGUGUGUGAAGAAGGUCUUCGGAUUGUAAAGCACUUUAAGUUGGGAGGAAGGGCAGUAAGUUAAUACCUUGCUGUUUUGACGUUACCAACAGAAUAAGCACCGGCUAACUUCGUG
This 483-nucleotide ribosomal RNA is filed under the name uncultured bacterium. RNAcentral's name for it is "partial 16S ribosomal RNA". It matches the Rfam family "Bacterial small subunit ribosomal RNA", at positions 30 to 507 of the family's 1533-position model. The record is from RNAcentral.